Molecule: ribosomal RNA, 253 nt
Filed under: uncultured bacterium
Lineage: Bacteria
Description: partial 16S ribosomal RNA
Rfam family: Bacterial small subunit ribosomal RNA
Source: RNAcentral
UACGGAGGGUGCAAGCGUUAUCCGGAAUUACUGGGUUUAAAGGGUGCGUAGGCGGUACAUUAAGUCAGAGGUGAAAGGUUAUCGCUUAACGAUAAAAUUGCCUUUGAUACUGGUGUACUUGAAUCAGAAUGAGGUUGGCGGAAUGUGACAUGUAGCGGUGAAAUGCAUAGAUAUGUCAUGGAACACCGAUUGCGAAGGCAGCUGACUGGCACUUGAUUGACGCUGAGGCACGAAAGCGUGGGGAGCGAACAGG